Non-coding RNA from Plectropomus leopardus (leopard coralgrouper), 116 nucleotides. Lineage: Eukaryota; Metazoa; Chordata; Actinopteri; Perciformes; Serranidae. The record is from RefSeq and is a predicted model, not a curated record.
UCACAGGCAGCUUUGAGGUCACAUUUAAGGAUGAGCUGAUCUACUCCAAGCUUGAGAAGGGAUCUUUUCCUGAUAACAAUGAGGUGGCGAAGAAAGUGAAUGACAGAAUUGGCAAA